RNAcentral lists this ribosomal RNA (619 nucleotides) under Trichoderma koningii. RNAcentral describes it as "eukaryotic LSU rRNA". The stretch from base 234 to 387 matches the Rfam family "5.8S ribosomal RNA". Lineage: Eukaryota; Fungi; Ascomycota; Sordariomycetes; Hypocreales; Hypocreaceae. The record is from RNAcentral.
AAAAAGUCGUUGGUAGCCAAGGGUUGGUGUUACACCCAUGGGAUCCGGUCCGAGUUUACAACUCCCAAACCCAAUCACUUACAUAUUGGGCUGUUGCCUCGGCGGGGUCACGCCCCGGGUGCGUCGCAGCCCCGUUUCCAGGCGCCCGCCGGAGGGACCAACCAAACUCUUUCUGUAGUCCAAACGCGGACGUUAUUUCUUUCAGCUCUGAGCAUUUAUUCAAAAUGAAUCAAAACUUUCAACAACGGAUCUCUUGGUUCUGGCAUCGAUGAAGAACGCAGCGAAAUGCGAUAAGUAAUGUGAAUUGCAGAAUUCAGUGAAUCAUCGAAUCUUUGAACGCACAUUGCGUUUGCCAGUAUUCUGGCGGGCAUGCCUGUCCGAGCGUCAUUUCAACCCUCGAACCCCUCCGGGGGGUCGGCGUUGGGGAUCGGGAACCCCUAAGACGGGAUCCCGGCCCCGAAAUACAGUGGCGGUCUCGCCGCAGCCUCUCAUGCGCAGUAGUUUGCACAACUCGCACCGGGAGCGCGGCGCGUCCACGCCUGUAAAACACCCAACGGAAGAAAUGUUGACCUCGGAUCAGGUAGGAAUACCCGCUGAACUUAAGCAGGGCAAUUUCCGA